This 465-nucleotide ribosomal RNA is filed under the name uncultured bacterium. Its description in RNAcentral is "partial 16S ribosomal RNA". It matches the Rfam family "Bacterial small subunit ribosomal RNA", at positions 338 to 795 of the family's 1533-position model. The record is from RNAcentral.
CCUACGGGCGGCAGCAGUGGGGAAUAUUGCGCAAUGGGCGAAAGCCUGACGCAGCGACGCCGCGUGAGGGAUGAAGGUCUUCGGAUCGUAAACCUCUGUCAGCAGGGAAGAACGGUCACUGUGCUAAUCAGCAGUGAAUUGACGGUACCUGCAAAGGAAGCACCGGCUAACUCCGUGCGAGCAGCCGCGGUAAUACGGAGGGGGCGUGCGUUAAUCGGAAUUGCUGGGCGUAAAGCGCUCGUAGGCGGUAUGUCAAGUCAAGGGGUAAAUCCCCGGGCUCAACGUGGGACGUGCCUUUGAAACUGGCAGACUGGAGAGGGUGAGAGGAUAGUGGAAUGCCAGGUGUAGGAGUGAAAUCCGUAGAUAUCUGGAGGAACAUCAGUGGCGAAGGCGACUAUCUGGCACAUAACUGACGCUGAGGAGCGAAAGCGUGGGUAGCAAACAGGAUUAGAUACCCGUGUAGUC